RNAcentral lists this ribosomal RNA (253 nucleotides) under uncultured bacterium. Its description in RNAcentral is "partial 16S ribosomal RNA". It matches the Rfam family "Bacterial small subunit ribosomal RNA", at positions 524 to 776 of the family's 1533-position model. The record is from RNAcentral.
UACGUAGGUGGCAAGCGUUGUCCGGAUUUACUGGGCGUAAAGAGCGCGCAGGCGGUCGUUCAAGUCGCGUGUGAAAGCCCCCGGCUCAACUGGGGAGGGUCACGCGAUACUGAUCGACUCGAAGGCAGGAGAGGGUAGUGGAAUUCCCGGUGUAGAGGUGAAAUUCGUAGAUAUCGGGAGGAACACCAGUGGCGAAGGCGGCGACCUGGGCCAAUAUUGACGCUGAGGUGCGAAAGCGUGGGGAGCAAACAGG